CCCUUAGAUGUCCUGGGCCGCACGCGUGCUACACUGACACUUGCAACGAGUACUUUGCUUUACCGAAGGGUAAUGCUAAUCAUCAAUAAGUGUCGUGAUGGGGAUAGAUCUUUGGAAUUAUGGAUCUUGAACGAGGAAUGCCUAGUAAGCGUAGGUCAUUAGCCUACGCUGAUUAAGUCCCUGCCCUUUGUACACACCGCCCGUCGCUCCUACCGAUUUCGAGUGGUCCGGUGAAACUUUUGGACCGUGCGACUUUAUUGUUGUCACGGAAAGUCAGUUAAACCAUACUACUUAGAGGAAGGAGAAGUCGUAACA
RNAcentral lists this ribosomal RNA (315 nucleotides) under uncultured eukaryote. RNAcentral describes it as "partial 18S ribosomal RNA". It matches the Rfam family "Eukaryotic small subunit ribosomal RNA", at positions 1470 to 1796 of the family's 1831-position model. The record is from RNAcentral.